Molecule: ribosomal RNA, 425 nt
Filed under: uncultured bacterium
Lineage: Bacteria
Description: bacterial SSU rRNA
Rfam family: Bacterial small subunit ribosomal RNA
Source: RNAcentral
GUGGGGAAUAUUGGACAAUGGGCGCAAGCCUGAUCCAGCCAUGUCGCGUGAACGAUGAAGGCCUUCGGGUUGUAAAGUUCUUUAGCCGAUGAUUAUAAUGACUGUAGUCGGAAAAUAAGCCCCGGCUAACUUCGUGCCAGCAGCCGCGGUAAUACGAAGGGGGCGAGCGUUAUUCGGAAUCACUGGGCGUAAAGCGUGCGUAGGCGGUCUCGUAAGUUAGGAGUGAAAGCCCAGGGCUCAACCUUGGAAUUGCUCUUAAAGCUGCAAGGCUAGAAUCUCAGAGAGGAUAGCGGAAUUUCCAGUGUAGCAGUGAAAUGCGUAGAUAUUGGAAGGAACACCAGUGGCGUAAGCGGCUAUCUGGACGAGUAUUGACGCUGAGGCACGAAAGCGUGGGGAUCAAACAGGAUUAGAAACCCCUGUAGUCC